RNAcentral lists this ribosomal RNA (468 nucleotides) under uncultured bacterium. RNAcentral describes it as "partial 16S ribosomal RNA". It matches the Rfam family "Bacterial small subunit ribosomal RNA", at positions 28 to 507 of the family's 1533-position model. The record is from RNAcentral.
GACGAACGCUGGCGGCGUGCUUAACACAUGCAAGUCGAACGGAAAGGCCCUGCUUUUGUGGGGUGCUCGAGUGGCGAACGGGUGAGUAACACGUGAGUAACCUGCCCUUGACUUUGGGAUAACUACAGGAAACUGGGGCUAAUACCGGAUAGGAGCUCCUGCUGCAUGGUGGGGGUUGGAAAGUUUCGGCGGUUGGGGAUGGACUCGCGGCUUAUCAGCUUGUUGGUGGGGUAGUGGCUUACCAAGGCUUUGACGGGUAGCCGGCCUGAGAGGGUGACCGGCCACAUUGGGACUGAGAUACGGCCCAGACUCCUACGGGAGGCAUCAGUGGGGGAUAUUGCACAAUGGGCGGAAGCCGGAUGCAGCAACGCCGCGUGCGGGAUGACGGCCUUCGGGUUGUAAACCGCUUUCGCCUGUGACGAAGCGUGAGUGACGGUAAUGGGUAAAGAAGCACCGGCUAACUACGUG